UACAGAGGUCUCAAGCGUUGUUCGGAUUCAUUGGGCGUAAAGGGUGCGUAGGCGGCGCCGUUAGUCAGGUGUGAAAUUUCGGAGCUUAACUCCGAAACUGCAUUUGAUACUGCGGUGCUUGAGGACUGGAGAGGAGACUGGAAUUCAUGGUGUAGCAGUGAAAUGCGUAGAGAUCAUGAGGAAGACCAGUGGCGAAGGCGGGUCUCUGGACAGUUCCUGACGCUGAUGCACGAAGGCCAGGGGAGCAAACGGG
Molecule: ribosomal RNA, 253 nt
Filed under: uncultured bacterium
Lineage: Bacteria
Description: partial 16S ribosomal RNA
Rfam family: Bacterial small subunit ribosomal RNA
Source: RNAcentral